RNAcentral lists this ribosomal RNA (852 nucleotides) under Oenococcus oeni. Its description in RNAcentral is "bacterial SSU rRNA". It matches the Rfam family "Bacterial small subunit ribosomal RNA", at positions 222 to 1063 of the family's 1533-position model. The record is from RNAcentral. Lineage: Bacteria; Bacillati; Bacillota; Bacilli; Lactobacillales; Lactobacillaceae.
AGGAUGGUCUUGCGGCGUAUUAGCUUGUUGGUAGGGUAGAAGCCUACCAAGGCAAUGAUGCGUAGCCGAGUUGAGAGACUGGCCGGCCACAUUGGGACUGAGACACUGCCCAAACUCCUACGGGAGGCUGCAGUAGGGAAUUUUCCGCAAUGCACGAAAGUGUGACGGAGCGACGCCGCGUGUGUGAUGAAGGCUUUCGGGUCGUAAAGCACUGUUGUAAGGGAAGAAUAACUGAAUUCAGAGAAAGUUUUCAGCUUGACGGUACCUUACCAGAAAGGGAUGGCUAAAUACGUGCCAGCAGCCGCGGUAAUACGUAUGUCCCGAGCGUUAUCCGGAUUUAUUGGGCGUAAAGCGAGCGCAGACGGUUUAUUAAGUCUGAUGUGAAAUCCCGAGGCCCAACCUCGGAACUGCAUUGGAAACUGAUUUACUUGAGUGCGAUAGAGGCAAGUGGAACUCCAUGUGUAGCGGUGAAAUGCGUAGAUAUGUGGAAGAACACCAGUGGCGAAAGCGGCUUGCUAGAUCGUAACUGACGUUGAGGCUCGAAAGUAUGGGUAGCAAACGGGAUUAGAUACCCCGGUAGUCCAUACCGUAAACGAUGGGUGCUAGUUGUUAAGAGGUUUCCGCCUCCUAGUGACGUAGCAAACGCAUUAAGCACCCCGCCUGAGGAGUACGGCCGCAAGGCUAAAACUUAAAGGAAUUGACGGGGACCCGCACAAGCGGUGGAGCAUGUGGUUUAAUUCGAAGAUACGCGAAAAACCUUACCAGGUCUUGACAUACCAAUGAUCGCUUUUGUAAUGAAAGCUUUUCUUCGGAACAUUGGAUACAGGUGGUGCAUGGUCGUCGUCAGCUCGU